RNAcentral lists this long non-coding RNA (1676 nucleotides) under Mus musculus (house mouse). RNAcentral's name for it is "RIKEN cDNA 4930556L07 gene (4930556L07Rik)". Lineage: Eukaryota; Metazoa; Chordata; Mammalia; Rodentia; Muridae. The record is from RNAcentral.
GAGCCCAACUGUCAAGACAACUCCAGACCAGCUGCACUACAAAGAUUCUGAGAGGAGAAAAGCUACGAAGAAGAUUCAGACAAGAAGAGCCAUCUGAAAGAGGUUCAAAGCCCACUGAGCCACCUAGAAAGGACAUUCUCCAAGCUGUAGAGCUGCCUCCAGCUGUGUGAGCUGUCUCUCAUCCUGGGAGUCCAGCCAGGCUGGCCCUGUUUGCCACCAUGUAAGCAAGACGGAAACUAUGGUGGUGCUGGAUGGUCUGGAGUGCAUGUGCUAACGUCUAGAAGCCAUCCCUGAUCCAUUCCUGCCAGCUAGUUGCCGUGACUCACCACAGCCAUGCCACCUGCCAGGCCUUUCCCAGGCUGCUCUGGUCUGGAAGCUUAGCAGCCGUGCAGUAAGUGGAAGAAGUGAAGAAAGUAGCGUUCAGGAGUUGUCCUUUAACCGGGCUGUAGACAUCAGUGGCUGAUUCUUAUAAAAGCAGCCAAGGAAACCAUCACCUCUCUCCCUCCUGUUUGUUCAUCUUCAGUGAUGAGCCCCAGAAAGGGUACUUUCAGAGGCAAAGCACCAGGAUCCCUUAAGACCUGCCUCUCCUGAAGUCAAGUGACACGCAGAGCUGAAGGCCGCAAUGUGGACAAGCCUCCUGGGGUUAUGUGAACCUCCUGAAGUAUUAGUGUGACCCUCCAAGGGUUCUGUGGAAACCACCUGAAAGAACAAAGCAGUAUAAAGAUGCAUGCCCCGCCCCUUUCCUGAGCUUUUGUGUGGAUAAGGGUGCCCCCUAGUGGCUUCCCUCGCCUCUACAUGGGCCUUCCAAAGUCCCUGCAGAUGACCAAUUUAAGCAGAUGAGCCUCGGGGUAAGGAGGGGUUUUGCAUGCUUGUACUUAUUUCUCUGUUCCUGUCUUGGGCUCUUCCCUCUUUCUAGCCCUUCCCGAAGUCCCCCCAACCGAUGCCUUCAAAAUAGCUCACAGUAUAUGGAUCUUUCCUGCGUUGACUUCAGAAUUCAGGGGUGGAUUCCCGCAGACUCGGACAAAUGCUGUUAGAGGGAUGGACUUAGAAUGCUUAUUAGUUAUUCAUACUAUCCGGUGUUUACCACGAGAUAUUAACCGGGCAGGAAGCCACUUGAGGAAAGAGGGUUUAUUUUGUCUCUGUUUCCUUGGAAAGGAAUGGCGGUGAGAUUAGCUUCUGUCUCUAGCCACAGGAGCCUGGAGCGCAACUAACUCACAACAAGGUGGGUAAUGAGGCAGAGAAGAUGAUUAUAACUGCGUUGGGCCUCCUAAAUCCUUUCUCCAGUGACAUCUAUUCUUCCAAAGGUUCCACAGGCUCCAUCACAAAGCACCACCAGCCGGGGACCAAUUUAAGCAGAUGAGCCUCGGGGUAAGGUGGAGAAGGCGGCCAGUGGUGGGGAACAGGUAGAAAUGAUGAAGGCUGUCAAAAGCUACUGUGGAAUUCUGCCCUCCCUGGCAUGGUUAUCACCAUCUCAAAACCAGAGCCGCUCCCAUUACCCACACACCUCUCACUGAGGCAAGAUGGAAACUAUGGGGACAGAGGAAGGGACAAGAGCCCCUCAUGGCAGCUUCUCACCAGCUGAGGAGCCAUAAUUCCAGCACACACUUGUUACAAAGGCUGCCACUGGGAAAUAAUAUUCCUUUCGUAUGUAGAUAAAAGUAACAAUGAACCAGGCU